Non-coding RNA from Heterocephalus glaber (naked mole-rat), 2777 nucleotides. Lineage: Eukaryota; Metazoa; Chordata; Mammalia; Rodentia; Bathyergidae. The record is from RefSeq and is a predicted model, not a curated record.
GGCUGCCGGGGUGAGUGUGAGUGUGAGAGCGAGAACAGCCCGGCAGGUCCCGAGGCGCCGGCUGGGGACUCUACGCGGAAAGUUCCCAGUCCCCAGCCGCAGGUAUUUUCCCUGCCACUGAUCAUGGAAAGAAAUCUUCGAGAAGGGGAAAAAGUUGCACACGGGCCACCGAUCGGCAGGGAUCACCUCAUUAAGGGACUCUAAGCGAGGACAGGAUGCGGGUCGCCCUCCCGGGUGCCAGCAGCACCGGGCCUUGCGAGGCGCUUCCGAUAUCCCUGCGCCUGGUCUGGCCCAGAGCCACGCAGCGGAGGGGAGCGGGCGCUGUUUUCGGCUUUUCCCCCUGACCUUUGGAGCUCUCUCCCCGCCGCGCCCCGCCCCGCCCCGCCCCGGGAUAGACGAGGGCCCAGCGCUGGCGGCGCCGAGCCGGGAACACAAGCGGAGCCCCGAGUGUGCACCGCUGCGGGUAUCUGCCAGCACGUUUGCACGUUUGCACAUUGCAGUUCCUGUGUCCCCCCUCCUGUUCCCCGGCCUCUGGAUCGGCGUGCGCCCCGGCGGAGCCGCCCGGGUGCCUAAGGAAGCGCUUGGCUAGCUCGUGCCCACUCGCGACGCGCGGGGCCGCGCGGGGCCACGCGGCGCAUCCGCGCAGCCAGUGCCUGUGAAGUUAAAACAGCCCGAACUCUUAGUGCCCGAGAGUGGAUUGCAUGCCAAUUCUCCAAGGCAAGAUCCCUAAAUACAUAUAUUUACAGUAACUCAUGGUCUGGUCGCAAGGAACACGUUGUUUAUUCACUGAAACAGCACGAGUUCAGUGUCCUUACGCUACAGGAUACAGGAUAGGAAGGUUCCCUAGCGGCGUCCCUGUAAUGAAUGAUCCAAGAGUAACACCACCACAACCUGCGAGGAAGGCACAGUGGUUUCGGCACAGAGGUUUGUGCCCGUCCCUUCAGUCCGGGAAUUCCGAAGCGCCGGUGUCCACCGGCGUGACCGUGGAUCGGGGCGUGCUCCUGCGAGUCCGGCGAGUUCGUGUCCACCGCCUGGCCGCCCGCCCCAGAAACCUGGCUCCGGGAGAUGGGUCCUGCCUUCCAGUGGGCAGAAGGAAAGGAUGCCAGCAAAAAUGGCUAAUCCUCUUCCAGCUGCAGUAAAUUGACGACUGGCCAAAGCCAAGCGAAACCCGCUGCAGUUAAAAAGAUUUUAGCUUCACGUCUGGGGCUGAGAAUGGAGCGGCAGUAUAUAAAACGACCUGUGGAUCAAUGGAAAGGAGAUCGUAGUGUCUCCGAAUAUUAAUACGGUAUUGCAUCUUUAUUUCCCUCCCCUUCCCCCUUUUUCUUCAGAUCUGCAGGGUGGCAAUGAAAUGUUUUGAGGUCUUCAAGCUGACUCAUCAGAAUCACGGAGCCGUGUAAAAAUGACGGUAAUUUUCCGAUAUGUUCGUCUGUACGUGUGGAAACACUUGUGUGCGCGCGCCUGUUUACGUGUGAGAGACAUGCGGCUGAAUGACAAUGCAGAUCCAGAAUUUGUUUGGGAAGGUGGGUUUCCACAAGGGAACCGUACCCAGAGUUUUAGCCGAUGUAGGGCGUCUGCUGACUGCCAGAGAGCUUUCAGAAGAGGGAGAUGAGAAUGUGGAGAGAUGGCCAGAUUUUCCUGUAAAUAAUCACUACCUCCACUGUAACACUUGAACUGCAUUUUUUUCUAUAUAGCAGAUGUGUUUGGUAACUCUCCCCUCAAACGUGGGUCACAGGCGCCUCCUAGCGGCGAAAGCAGCAUAAAGCAAGCCGGGUAAUUUUGCUUUCUCCUCGGGCAGGGCUCGCCUGUUGGGGGCUCUGCUGGAUUUCUUGGAUCACCAAAGCCUGUGUCCGCGCUAGGGAAGCCAGGCCAGGGCCUCCAAAGGCCUCCCUUCUCCGACUUUUACUGUUUCUGGUGGUGACAGCGGAAACAGAGGGGAUAACGGUGGGGUCUUCACAGAAUAGAUCCCAGCCCAACCUCCCCCAGUACAGAGUGAGAGGCAUUCCAUCGAGGGACCAUUGCAAAAGUCUUUUGUUUGAAGCCAAGAUUUAGAUACAGACAUUAGCAGCCAUCUCUGCCUCCCGUACCCGUGAACCAUUAACAUAAACCUGCCCUGUCACACACAGGCCAAAACACUUUAAAAUUGCCUUUUAAAAAUACUUUUAAAACACAGCAGGUUUACAUUCUCUCUGGCUGUGGUACACAGUAGAUCCUUCCCACUUGGUUUUUCUUUCUUUCUUUUUUUCUUUUUUUUUUUUUUUUCUCCCACUGCCCUUUGACCUGAGAAUUUUGAAUUCUUAAUGGCAUGUACUCCAGCCUGAGCGUGUAGGUCAAUGAGAUGUCUGAAUGAGUAGAGUGUCACAUAUAUCCUGCGUUCACUUUUGGACUCCACAUUACUGGAGUGGGAAGGGAGAAGUAAACAUAGUGCACGUAAUCCUUCCCUCCCACAGCCUUGAUCCCAGGAGCACCAAAGUCAACAAACUGCAUAAAGGGUAAAAAGGGUAAAAGGGUAAAAGAAUUCUGUAUUGUGUGGAGAAAGAUUAUAAAAAUCUGUUUUCAUAUAAGUUGUGGUUUAUAUGUGAGAGUGAUAAUGUACAAUUCAUCUAUUUUAUUGGGUUCUAACUGCAGCAGAAGUAAGGGGACAUUAAGGUUCUUCCAGAGCAGUUAACAAACUUUGAAACUAGGUUGUGGGGUUGUUCUCUUCUCUGUACUUUGCUGAAAAGGGCGGAAGGGAAACAAGUGUGUUAACUAGCGUGUGAGUAAAUGAGUGUUUGCAGUGA